ACACGCAUGACACACUGCAUAUCAAUAAGCGGAGGAAAAGGAAACUAACAAGGAUUCCCUUAGUAACGGCGAGUGAAGCGGGAAGAGCUCAAAUUUGAAAUCUUCAAGGUUCUACCUUGACGAAUUGUAGUUUAUAGAAGUGUUUUCUGUUAGUGGAGUGGCAAAAGUUCUUUGGAAUAGGACAUCAUAGAGGGUGAGAAUCCCGUAUUUGGUCAUUCUUCUAGCGUUGUGAUACACUUUCAAAGAGUCGGAUUGUUUGGGAAUGCAGUCCAAAAUGGGUGGUAAAUUUCAUCUAAAGCUAAAUAUUGGCGAGAGACCGAUAGCGAACAAGUACCGUGAGGGAAAGAUGAAAAGAACUUUGAAAAGAGAGUUAAACAGUACGUGAAAUUGUCAAAGGGAAGCGUUUGACACCAGUGUUGUUUUUCCGAAAAUCAAUUACGAAUGUUUUGUUUUCGAGGAGUUAUGACUUCAUCGGCUUGCUCCUUUCUUUAUGAAACUUUCUUAAUGCACUUUUCGGUUAACAAGUCAACAUCAAUUUCUUUUGUUGUAAAAGGGUAUGAGGAAGGUGGCUUUCUUUUCGGAGAAAGUGUUUAUAGCCUUGUGCCUCUGCAAUCGGAGAGAUUGAGGUCUGCAGCGUAGAUCCUUCGGGGUUAGAUACAUUUGUGCUAAGUUAUAGCUUUUCAUAGACAACUUGUUGACUAUGUUUAGUCUUGUAGCUUACUCGCUUAUGCUAUUUUACCUACGCUUAGGAUGUUGACGAGACUGUCGAUCUCAUCUACACAUGACUCUCUGCAUAUCAAUAAGCGGAGGAAAAGGUACCUACGCUUAGGAUGUUGACGAGACUGUCGAUCUC
This 853-nucleotide ribosomal RNA is filed under the name uncultured Neocallimastigales. RNAcentral describes it as "partial large subunit ribosomal RNA". It matches the Rfam family "Eukaryotic large subunit ribosomal RNA", at positions 23 to 645 of the family's 3401-position model. Lineage: Eukaryota; Fungi; Neocallimastigomycota; Neocallimastigomycetes; Neocallimastigales. The record is from RNAcentral.